RNAcentral lists this ribosomal RNA (164 nucleotides) under uncultured bacterium. RNAcentral's name for it is "partial 16S rRNA". It matches the Rfam family "Bacterial small subunit ribosomal RNA", at positions 355 to 511 of the family's 1533-position model. The record is from RNAcentral.
UGGGGAAUCUUCGGCAAUGGACGAAAGUCUGACCGAGCAACGCCGCGUGAGUGAAGAAGGUUUUCGGAUCGUAAAACUCUGUUGUUAGAGAAGAACAAGGGUGAGAGUAACUGUUCACCCCUUGACGGUAUCUAACCAGAAAGCCACGGCUAACUACGUGCCCG